CGGACGGGUGAGUAACACGUUGGAACCUGCCCAAUGAGAUAAGCCACCGAAAAGGGUGGUCUAAUACUUCAUAAUAUCCAUCUCGUAUGGAUUAAAGCUUUAUGCGCUUUGGGAGGGGCCUGCGUGACAUUAGCUUGUUGGUGAGGUAAAAGCUCACCAAGGCUUCGAUGUUUAACUGGUUUGAGAGGAUGACCAGUCACACUGGGACUGAGAUACGGCCCAGACUCCUACGGGAGGCAGCAGUAAGGAAUCUUCCACAAUGGGGCAACCCUGAUGGAGCAAUACCGCGUGCAGGAUGAAGCGUUUCGGCGUGUAAACUGCUUUAUCACCGAAGAUUAUGACUGUAGGUGAAGAAUAAGGACCGGCUAACUACGUG
This 376-nucleotide ribosomal RNA is filed under the name uncultured bacterium. RNAcentral's name for it is "bacterial SSU rRNA". It matches the Rfam family "Bacterial small subunit ribosomal RNA", at positions 99 to 507 of the family's 1533-position model. The record is from RNAcentral.